GACGAACGCUGGCGGCGUGCUUAACACAUGCAAGUCGAACGGAAAGGCCCUGCUUUUGUGGGGUGCUCGAGUGGCGAACGGGUGAGUAACACGUGAGUAACCUGCCCUUGACUUUGGGAUAACUUCAGGAAACUGGGGCUAAUACCGGAUAGGAGCUCCUGCUGCAUGGUGGGGGUUGGAAAGUUUCGGCGGUUGGGGAUGGACUCGCGGCUUAUCAGCUUGUUGGUGGGGUAGUGGCUUACCAAGGCUUUGACGGGUAGCCGGCCUGAGGGGGUGACCGGCCACAUUGGGACUGAGAUACGGCCCAGACUCCUACGGGAGGCAGCAGUGGGGAAUAUUGCACAAUGGGCGGAAGCCUGAUGCAGCAACGCCGCGUGCGGGAUGACGGCCUUCGGGUUGUAAACCGCUUUCGCCUGUGACGAAGCGUGAGUGACGGUAAUGGGUAAAGAAGCACCGGCUAACUACGUGCCAGCAGCCGCGGUGAUACGUAGGGUGCGAGCGUUGUCCGGAUUUAUUGGGCGUAAAGGGCUCGUAGGUGGUUGAUCGCGUCGGAAGUGUAAUCUUGGGGCUUAACCCUGAGCGUGCUUUCGAUACGGGUUGACUUGAGGAAGGUAGGGGAGAAUGGAAUUCCUGGUGGAGCGGUGGAAUGCGCAGAUAUCAGGAGGAACACCAGUGGCGAAGGCGGUUCUCUGGGCCUUUCCUGACGCUGAGGAGCGAAAGCGUGGGGAGCGAACAGGCUUAGAUACCCUGGUAGUCCACGCUGUAAACGGUGGGUACUAGGUGUGGGGUCCAUUCCACGGGUUCCGUGCCGUAGCUAACGCUUUAAGUACCCCGCCUGGGGAGUACGGCCGCAAGGCUAAAACUCAAAGGAAUUGACGGGGCCCCGCACAAGCGGCGGAGCAUGCGGAUUAAUUCGAUGCAACGCGUAGAACCUUACCUGGGUUUGACAUGGAUCGGGAGUGCUCAGAGAUGGGUGUGCCUCUUUUGGGGUCGGUUCACAGGUGGUGCAUGGCUGUCGUCAGCUCGUGUCGUGAGAUGUUGGGUUAAGUCCCGCAACGAGCGCAACCCUUGUUCACUGUUGCCAGCACGUUAUGGUGGGGACUCAGUGGAGACCGCCGGGGUCAACUCGGAGGAAGGUGGGGAUGACGUCAAGUCAUCAUGCUCCUUAUGUCCAGGGCUUCACGCAUGCUACAAUGGCUGGUACAGAGAGUGGCGAGCCUGUGAGGGUGAGCGAAUCUCGGAAAGCCGGUCUCAGUUCGGAUUGGGGUCUGCAACUCGACCUCAUGAAGUCGGAGUCGCUAGUAAUCGCAGAUCAGCAACGCUGCGGUGAGUACGUAUCCCGGGGCU
RNAcentral lists this ribosomal RNA (1347 nucleotides) under uncultured bacterium. RNAcentral's name for it is "partial 16S ribosomal RNA". It matches the Rfam family "Bacterial small subunit ribosomal RNA", at positions 28 to 1381 of the family's 1533-position model. The record is from RNAcentral.